CCUACGGGUGGCAGCAGUGGGGAAUAUUGGGCAAUGGGCGCAAGCCUGACCCAGCAACGCCGCGUGAAGGAAGAAGGCUUUCGGGUUGUAAACUUCUUUUGUCAGGGAAGAGUAGAAGACGGUACCUGACGAAUAAGGCCCGGCUAACUACGUGCCAGCAGCCGCCGGAAUACGUAGGUGGCAAGCGUUAUCCGGAUUUACUGGGUGUAAGGGGCGUGUAGGCGGGUUGGCAAGUCAGAUGUGAAAUCCUUGGGCUUAACCUGAGGACUGCAUUUGAAACUGUUGAUCUUGAGUACUGGAGAGGCAGACGGAAUUCCUAGUGUAGCGGUGAAAUGCGUAGAUAUUAGGAGGAACACCAGUGGCGAAGGCGGUCUGCUGGACAGCAACUGACGGUGAGGCGCGAAAGCGUGGGGAGCAAACAGGAUUAGAUACCCCUGUAGUC
RNAcentral lists this ribosomal RNA (442 nucleotides) under uncultured bacterium. RNAcentral's name for it is "partial 16S ribosomal RNA". It matches the Rfam family "Bacterial small subunit ribosomal RNA", at positions 338 to 795 of the family's 1533-position model. The record is from RNAcentral.